Molecule: RNA transcript, 7860 nt
Organism: Salvelinus namaycush (lake trout)
Lineage: Eukaryota; Metazoa; Chordata; Actinopteri; Salmoniformes; Salmonidae
Gene: map3k4
Gene name: mitogen-activated protein kinase kinase kinase 4
Exons: 26
Source: RefSeq, a predicted model, not a curated record
GAUGCCGUAGCACUCCUCCUGACUGCUGGAAAGAUGGCGGCAGCGCACACUCGGGCGAGCCCCAAUUCUGCAGGCGGAAAAAAAUCUUAACAGAAAGACACCUUUCGCCCAGGUUUUGCAAAAAGAAAACGUGCAAACAACUAUUAAACUUGCAUGGUCAUGGGUGGUCCCAUGCACCACUAGAACCGAGCAUUCCUCGACCUGCUAUGGAGCCUCCGGAUAAUAGCGAACCUAGCAGGCAGGUCAAUUCCUCAAAAGAUGAUUCGGUGCAUCAGAGCUGCGAGGUGGAAGACUUUUGGUACGAGCCCAGCGAGGAAGAGGAAGCUCUGUACGGCACAUCACCCCCCUACACCCCCCGGCAGAUGAAACGUAUGUCGGGGAAACACCAGAAGAACAGCCAGGCGAGGUCAGCUGGACGCUCCCCCGUCGGACACUCUCCUAACAAGAUAGACAAUCAGCCAGCCCCCUCCAGUCCAUCCCAGCCCCAGAGAGAGAGUGAGCCUAACCCCUAUAGGCCUAGAGAGGGGGCUGAGCGAGACCGAGAGAAGGACCCCCCAGAGGCUGAGCAACAUAACUACAAGUUGGGUAAGAAACAGACCGACCCUUCUGAGGGGAUCCAAAUAAACGUAAACAAGCAAGUCAACAAAGCAACCGAGGAGCACCAACACAACUAUAAGCAGGGUCAAAAACAACGCGCCACCCUGCGUUCCAGUGAGAGAGACCACAAGAAGACCUUUGAAGGUUCCUUCAUGCUGGACCCGCUCUCCAAGACCUCCAGCCCCUUCGGUGGAGGCUCAGCCCUCAACAUGGACCCCAGGAAACCCUACCUAUCGCUGGGGUGCGGCAGCGGCAAGCUCCCUGUCACUAUCCCCCACCCCAUGGCCCACCGCACCCACCGCCAGACCUCAAGGACAGACUGCCCUGCAGAUAGACUCAAGUUCUUUGAGACGCUGAGGUUGUUAUUGAAGCUGACUUCCAUGUCGUCCAAGAAGAAGGAGAAGGAGCAGCGCGGUCUGGAGAACUCAGCCUUCAUGGGCCAGAACAACGAGGUGGUGUGGCUGGAGCUCCAGGCGUGGCACGCGAGACGCUCCGUCAACGACCAGGAUCUGUUCCUGUUCACUGCUCGACAAGCAAUCCCAGACAUCAUCAACAAGGUGCUCCACUUUAAGGUCAACUACCACAGCCUGAGCCCCAGCACCAUGGGCCUGGGACAACUGACCCUGGGGGUGUGUGUAGGACGACCAGGUAUGGUUGGAUCAGGGGCAUCUCCCGGCCAGGGAGCCCAGAGGACACUAGUGUUAACAGAGCCAGGCUGUGGAGGCCCAGGCCAGGGUCCCAAACAGAGGACUCCAACCCAGGCCUCAGAGACUGUUUCUGGGGAGGAGAGGGACUCUAACCAGCCUGCUGCUGUUGGAGCUUCAGAGACGAACCAAAAUCACUUUGCUUCAGUCGACCCAUGGGGCUUCAGCGCCUGCCCCUCCUCGGCAGUAGACGCAGCGGCGCCCCUGGGCUCCGGGGCGGGGUGCAGGGAGCACCUCCAGCGCCAGCGGCUGGCCUUCGAGCAGGUUAAACGGGUGAUGGAGCUGCUGGAGUCGGUGGAGGCUUUGUACCCUUCCCUGCAGACCCUCCAGAAGGACUAUGAAAAGUACGCAGCCAGGGACUUCCAGGGCAGGGUGCAGGCACUCUGUCUCUGGCUCAACAUCACACAGGAUCUGAACCAGAAACUUCGUGUUAUGGCGACUGUCCUCGGCCUCAGGGACCUUUCCCGUAUCGGCUGGCCCGUCUUCGAGAUCCCCUCGCCACGCUGUUCCCGUGGUAACGACGAGGAAGACGAGGAUGAAGAAGACGAGGAGAAUGACUCCACGGCAACCUUCACUGCCGGUGACAGCGACGGAGAGGACAGGGACCUAGCGGGUGAGGAGGGGGAAACUGGUGAGCCCAGAGGGGGUGAAACGACAGCUGAGCCGGGAGAAGGUGAACUCUCCCCUUGUUUGACUCCUAAAUUCGCUCGGUUACUACUAUCUGAGGAUGAGACGGGGACUAUGGAGGUGGUAUCGGGGGGCACAGGGACAGGAGGGAUGAACUGCCCUACAGCCAUCUUCAGACCCUUCGUAGAUAAGGCCUUGAAACAGAUGGGGCUGAGGAAACUGAUCCUGAGACUACACAAGCUGAUGGACCCCUCCCUCCAGAGGUCCCGGGCAGCCCUGCUCAGCCACACGCCUGCACAGGAGUUCACGGACUUCCCAGACCCCAUGCUGUACAGUGACUACCUACCGGAGUUGUCCCGCCACCUGUCCUCCUGUGGCGCUCCCGGGGGCCCGGAGCUGGGGGCAGAGCACGUUUCCUGGGAGGAGCUGUUGGACAUGGACCUGCCCUCGUUCCGACCUGCCUUCCUGGUCCUAUGCCGCGUCCUGCUGAACGUGAUACACGAGUGCCUUAAGCUGAGACUGGAACAGAGGCCUGCAGGGGAGCCUUCACUGCUCAGCAUCAAACAGUUGGUGCGUGAAUGUAAGGAGGUGUUGAAAGGUGGUCUCCUGAUGAAACAGUAUUACCAGUACAUGCUGAGGGGGGUGGUCACAGACCCCCAGGGACUCCAGACCAAUGCCAACAUAGACGAAUUUGAGGAGGACCUCCACAAAAUGCUGGUGGUGUACUUUGACUACAUGCACAGCUGGAUCCAGAUGCUGCAGCAGCUUCCCCAGGCCUCACACAGCCUGAAGAACCUUCUAGAGGAGGAGUGGAACUUCACCAAAGUCAUCACUCCCUACAUUAGAGGAGGGGAGGCUCAGUCUGGGAAACUCUUCUGUGACAUUGCUGGGAUGCUGCUCAAGUCCACAGGGGACUUCCUGGACACGGGCCUGCAGAAGAGUGGUGAUGAAUUCUGGGAAAGUGCCGACGACAGUACAGUCUCAGAUGAGAUCCGCCGGUCGGUAAUCGAGACGAGCCGGUCACUUAAGGAGCUGUUCCACGAGGCUAGAGAGAGGGCAUCCAAAGCUCUGGGAUUUGCCAAAAUGCUCCGUAAGGACCUGGAGAUUGCUGCUGAUUUCAGCAUUACCAGUGGGGUGCCAUGCCUCCUGGAGGCCCUCAAGGAGAGAAAUUAUGUCAAGGUCCAGAUCCCAGGGCUGGAGGAGCUGGAGGUGUUUGUCCCAUGUGCCCUGAUGCACCAGCGUGACCUCAUCCUGCAGCUUCUAAACGCAGCAGCCGGUAAGGAUUGCAGUAAGGAGCCCGACGAGAUGAUGGCAGAGGACGAGGCCUACCUGCUGAUGAGCAAGCAUGGAGCAGGGGACCCGCCUGGGGGGGCAGGCCAGGCCGGGGUUCAGUGGCACUGGGAUGGGAAGCUGGUCAAACUGGUGCCUCAGAUGGAGACUGUGGACACGCUACGGGCCAUGAAGGUGGAGAACCUGCUCCUGAUAGUGAUGCAGUCAGCCCACCUUGUGGCCCAGCGUAAGGCCUUCCAGCAAAGUAUGGAUGAGCUGCUCACCCUAAGCAGGGAGCAAACCUCCAGCCAGCCCCUCAUCGCCCGCUCCCUGGAGCAACUCAAGAAUGAAGCCUUACAGCUCUGUAGAAAGAUCAACACGGCCAUUGACCGGGUGGAGUACAUGUUCACGUCAGAGUUUGAGGCCGAAGUGGAGGAGUCUGAGUCAGCCACGCUGCAGCAGUACUACAGAGAGGCCAUGAUCCAGGGAUACAACUUCGCCUUCGAGUACCACAAGGAGGUGGUGCGUCUGAUGUCGGGUGAGUUCCGUCAGCGGAUUGGGGAAUGCUAUAUCGCCUUCGCCAGGAAGUGGAUGAACUAUGUCCUCACCAAGUGUGAAAGUGGCCGGGGUACCAGACCCCGCUGGGCCACUCAAGGCUUUGAUUUCCUCCAAGCCAUCGAACCUGCCUUCAUCUCUGCUUUACCAGAGGACGACUUCCUGAAUUUGCAAGCUCUGAUGAAUGAGUGCAUUGGUCAUGUGAUCGGGAAGCCUCACAGCCCAGUCAGUGGCUUGUACCUAGCCCCCAGGAACAGUCCUCGGCCAGUGAAGGUCCCUCGUUGCCAUAGCGACCCCCCCAACCCCCACCUGUUCAUCCCCAAUGCAGAGGGCUUCAGCUCUAGGAGUCUCCCCUGCGACCUACGGACCCAGCUGUGUCUACCUACCGGCCCCCGCCCAGUCCCCGCCCCUCAGACCCCAGGCCCCGCCCCCGGGGAACACAGCCCAUCCAAAGCACCUGGGUCCACCCCCAAUGACGUCAGAGGGGCCAACCUCCACGAGAACGACAGGCUGUCGUCUGUAGCAGCCGAGCUGCAGUUCAAGUCUCUGAGCCGACACUCCAGUCCCACUGAUGACAGGGAAGAACCCUCCUAUCCUAAGGGAGGAGACCCCAGCAGCACGGCCAGGAGAAGCUGGGAGCUCCGCACUUUCAUCAGCCAAUCAAAAGACACGGCAGCCAGACAGAGCCCCAUGGAAGCUGUACGUCGCUCCAUACGCUCCUUCGAGGACAAACGCUACGCAGUCAUGAAGCAGAGGAACAUCAUUGGCCAGGUGUGCCACACCCCCAAGUCCUACGACAACGUCAUGCACGUCGGCCUCCGCAAGGUCACCUUCAAGUGGCAGAGGGGCAACAAGAUAGGUGAGGGCCAGUAUGGCAAGGUGUACACCUGCAUCAAUGUGGACACUGGAGAACUCAUGGCUAUGAAGGAGAUCCGGUUCCAGCCGAAUGACCAUAAGACGAUAAAGGAGACAGCAGAUGAGUUGAAGAUCUUUGAGGGCAUCAAACACCCCAACCUGGUCCGCUACUUUGGUGUUGAGCUGCAUCGGGUAAGAGCAGGGUUGAAAUUAACACGCUCCAAAUGCGGGUAGAUUUUCUGUUUGGCGAGUAAAUCUCAGAAGGCUAUCCGCCACACUGGCGGGUAAAUGUUUGUACCAAAAUAGUCAUGUAAUAAAAUAUCUGGCAUGAUGUCUCAGGAAAUGACUCAUGUUUGCCAGUCACAGACCAUCUCUAGUGCUCCUAGUUUCGCGGCGCUGUUCACCGUACAGGACAUCAGCUACUCGACAUCGCUCACUUGCCAUGGGUCUGCUGCUUGCUACCGUUCAUUAAAUAGCUGUUGUGGCGACAUUUACCUGGAGUAAGCCAACCUUUGAAACGAAAACACACAGACUAAAAGGAGGACAAAUCACAUAAAAAAAUAAAGUUUGAUGAGUAAUGGAGGUUUGGAGAUAAAGGAGUUUCAAGAGGCUGGCUACAGUAUGAUGCUGAGGCUGUGGUGAUGAGUUGUUCUGUGUGUCACCAGUAUGCUAAAGAUAAAAGCAGAAACAACUCAUUUGUCAUCAGAAAUAAAACAAUGAAGCUGGAGAACAUUCAUGUCCAUGAACGCAGCAAGUGUCAUGUCCAUGAACGCAGCAAGUGUCAUGUCCAUGAACGCAGCAAGUGUCAUGUCCAUGAACGCAGCAAGUGUCAUGUCCAUGAACGCAGCAAGUGUCAUGUCCAUGAACGCAGCAAGUGUCAUGUCCAUGAACGCAGCAAGUGUCAUGUCCAUGAACGCAGCAAGUGUCAUGUCCAUGAACGCAGCAAGUGUCAUGUCCAUGAACGCAGCAAGUGUCAUGUCCAUGAACGCAGCAAGUGUCAUGUCCAUGAACGCAGCAAGUGUCAUGUCCAUGAACGCAGCAAGUGUCAUGUCCAUGAACGCAGCAAGUGUCAUGUCCAUGAACGCAGCAAGUGUCAUGUCCAUGAACGCAGCAAGUGUCAUGUCCAUGAACGCAGCAAGUGUCAUGUCCAUGAACGCAGCAAGUGUCAUGUCCAUGAACGCAGCAAGUGUCAUGUCCAUGAACGCAGCAAGUGUCAUGUCCAUGAACGCAGCAAGUGUCACAUUGCCUAUGUGUCUGUGUCCCGGACUCAAUCGUGUCCCGGAGCCUCUCCUCCUGACACCCUCUGUGACGGCGCUCAUGGCAAUGUCAGAGCAGACCAGCACGAAGUUGAAGAUACUGUUUAGGACUGUACAUGCCAUUGGCAAGAAGACGAGACCACUUUCUGACUUCAAGUGGAUGUGUGAUUUGGAUGAAAAAACAAGGAAUCGCUGUGGACUCAACAUAUAGAAAUGAGAAGCAGGCCAAAGAGUUUAUGCACCAUAUUGCAGAGGUGGAGAGAAACAGCAUCAGAGAGAAUAUGAAAAACACUACAUUUCUCUCCGUCAUGUCAGAUGGCUCCACAGACAGUUCUGUGAAAGAGGAGUUAGUUUAUGUCAGAUUCUGUCAUAAGGGCAAGAUCGAGUCAAAGUUUGUUGGCAUCAAGUCGGUGAAGAAGGCAGUAAGCAACGCCGUCAGUGCCAUCAUGGAGGGAGUGUGUGAUGAGUGGGGGAGCAAGUUAUUCGCUCUGGGAACAGAUGGAGCUGCUGUGAUGACCGGAGCCAAGAAUGGUGUGGUCAGCCGACUGAAGGGGGACAGGGCCUACAUCAUCGGAAUCCACUGUAUGGCACACCGCCUUCAACUGACCUUUUCUGAUGCCAUCCGGUCCAACGUGAUGUUUCAGAAAGUAGAAGACCUCAGUGGGCUCUACACCAGUCCACUGAACAGUGAAAACCUGGUAAACAGCUUCCAGGCUCUUGGGCACACACCACUGGUGCCCACCAGAAUUGGCGGGACCCGAUGGGUAGGACACCUAUUGCGUGCACUGGACCAUGUCCUGCGAGGUUACCAGGGGCGUGUCCAGCACCUGAAACAGAUUCAAUCUGCUGAUGCCCAAAAUGUCUGAGGUGUCCAGCAGGCCAAGGCCAGGAAAUACUACAGUACUGCGAGGGAGGCUGUUAUCCGCUUCUGUGGCUUCCUGCAUGACACACUAACACAUCUGAGCAGCCUGUCUGCAGAGGUCCACCAUCACCAUAGCAGAAGCCCACAGCUCCUUGUGCUCAACACAGGCAUUACUUAAGAAGUACAAAACCAGAUUUUGGUGACACUGAACUGGAAACCCUGGUGGACCACUUCAAGCCUGUCCUGGAGACCUCUGGCAUCCAUGUUGAAAGGAUCCCUGACCAGUGGACUGUCCUGAAGGUGCUGAUGUACCAAGAGCCCCAGUCCCCUGCAGAAGAUGUCCUGGUUCUGUGUCAACAGCAGCCAUCAGCAGUCCUGCCCUGAUGUGCUGGCAUUGGUUGACCUGGUCCUGUCCUUCCCUGCCUCCACAGCUGAAUGUGAAAGAGUUUUUAAUACCAUGAAACAGAUGAAAACCGAUUGGCGGUCUAACCUAAAGUCUGAUACACUGUCAGAUCUCUUUAUGUUCCAGCUGUCCUCUCCAGAGAUCAGGGAGUAUGAUCCGAUAAAAGCUGUGAUGCUGUGGCACCAGGACUCUGUCAGGAGUAGGAGGACUUCAUAGACCGUGCAAAGAGGGUGAUUGCAGUAGAGAGUGAGGAGUCUGAGGAGGUUUAAGUUUAUUAAAAUGAUUAAGCAUCUGAUAGGUUUACAAAACCUUCAAAUGUACUGUUAUGUUUGAUCCUUAAGUACUUUUAAUAGCAAAUACUAAAGUAGAAUUUUGAAUUCAAGACUUGUUGUAUUCAGGCUGGGAAAUUAAAUCUAGCCACAGUCAAAAUUAACCAGCGUCUGAUAAGUCUCUAUUUUACCUGUAUUUUAUCAGGGUAUUUCUACUCAAAGUAAAGGAUUUGUAGACCUGUUUCCCCUUUGUAUCAGUUCUACUGCACUUCUCAUAAUUGUAUCUUACCAUUGUUGUUGCCCUGUUUUGACUUCAACAUACUCUUAUUCAUUGUAUCUGAUAUGUUUGGUUUAUUUCAUUGGGUGCCCACUGUUUGGUGUUUUUUCACUCUGUACUGCACUUUUGGUCAACUACAGUUGUUUUUAAACGUGCUCUACAAAUAAACUGAUCAAUAUAUUAAAA